GACGAACGCUGGCGGCGUGCUUAACACAUGCCAGUCGAACGGAAAGGCCCUGCUUUUGUGGGGUGCUCGAGUGGCGAACGGGUGAGUAACACGUGAGUAACCUGCCCUUGACUUUGGGAUAACUUCAGGAAACUGGGGCUAAUACCGGAUAGGAGCUCCUGCUGCAUGGGGGGGGUUGGAAAGUUUCGGCGGUUGGGGAUGGACUCGCGGCUUAUCAGCUUGUUGGUGGGGUAGUGGCUUACCAAGGCUUUGACGGGUAGCCGGCCUGAGAGGGUGACCGGCGACAUUGGGACUGAGAUAGGGCCCAGAAUCCUACGGGCGGCAGCAGUGGGGAAUAUUGCACAAUGGGCGGAAGCGUGAUGCAGCAACGCCGCGUGCGGGAUGACGGCCUUCGGGUUGUAAACCGCUUUCGCCUGUGACGAAGCGUGAGUGACGGUAAUGGGUAAAGAAGCACCGGCUAACUACGUG
This 468-nucleotide ribosomal RNA is filed under the name uncultured bacterium. RNAcentral's name for it is "partial 16S ribosomal RNA". It matches the Rfam family "Bacterial small subunit ribosomal RNA", at positions 28 to 507 of the family's 1533-position model. The record is from RNAcentral.